UCAUACAUGUUACAUCUCUCAACUGCGUAGAUGAGUUCCAAUUCUCUGUGUGCCUGUGAGGCAGCUCAGAGUGGACAUCAACCAGCAAGGGCUUCCUAAGGCUGAAUUCCUAAGGCAGAAUUCCCAACUCCCAUCCAGUUUGUUUGGCUUCAGAAAAAGGCAUUAUCGUCAUAGAUGAGAGCCACAUGUGUUUUCCUGCUCCUAUCGACCUCCUUCCAGUGGAAAAGACAUUGAGGUGGAAGAUGGUGAUGUGGAUGGCCCUGACCCUGUGUGGGUCUAAGAGUGAAGUGUCUCUGCUUCCUGAUCAUCAUGUGAG
Ictidomys tridecemlineatus (thirteen-lined ground squirrel) is the source of this 316-nucleotide long non-coding RNA. RefSeq lists it as uncharacterized. Lineage: Eukaryota; Metazoa; Chordata; Mammalia; Rodentia; Sciuridae. The record is from RefSeq and is a predicted model, not a curated record.